This 783-nucleotide ribosomal RNA is filed under the name Collinsiella tuberculata. RNAcentral's name for it is "eukaryotic LSU rRNA". The stretch from base 1 to 249 matches the Rfam family "Eukaryotic small subunit ribosomal RNA". The record is from RNAcentral. Lineage: Eukaryota; Viridiplantae; Chlorophyta; Ulvophyceae; Ulotrichales; Gomontiaceae.
UUGCAAUUAUUGUUCUUCAACGAGGAAUGCCUAGUAAGCGUGAGUCAUCAUCUCGCGUUGAUUACGUCCCUGCCCUUUGUACACACCGCCCGUCGCUCCUACCGAUUGAAUGUGCUGGUGAAGACUUCGGAUUGGCUGUUUGGUUAGGUUCCCUAGCCUUACCGCUGAGAAGUUGUUUAAACCCUCCCAUUUAGAGGAAGGAGAAGUCGUAACAAGGUUUCCGUAGGUGAACCUGCGGAAGGAUCAUUGAAUUCCAUUGAAUCAACACCCGCGAAUGAACCAAGUACCCCCCUCGCGCCACUCGACGCGAGCGGCUUGCCCUCGGGCGUGUCGGACUCUUGGGAGUCGGUAAACCAUCCACGCACCCAACAAAAUUGUCUGUCUGAAGCUAACUCAACACGGCAUCGCUGGUUGACUAACAAUGACAACUCUCAACAACGGAUAUCUAGGCUCUCGCAACGAUGAAGAACGCAGCGAAAUGCGAUACGUAAUGUGAAUUGCAGAAUUCCGUGAAUCAUCGAAUCUUUGAACGCAUAUUGCGGUCGAGGCUUCGGCCGAGACCAUGCCUGCCUCAGCGUCUUUGAAAAACCCUCAUUCCUCCUCGGAGCGCAAUGGACCUGGCGUCCCCACCUCACCGUGGGCUCGCUGAAAUGCGGAGAAUCACGCUCGGGCCUGAUACGGCAGCAGCAAGGUAGGUGGCUCGGUCACUCCGGCUGGAUGCUCAGGGCACGCGGCACGAUUCCUUCAGAAAYYCGUUUUCGUUCGAGACCUGAGAUCAGACAA